Molecule: long non-coding RNA, 593 nt
Organism: Columba livia (rock pigeon)
Lineage: Eukaryota; Metazoa; Chordata; Aves; Columbiformes; Columbidae
Exons: 3
Source: RefSeq, a predicted model, not a curated record
GCGGUGGAGCGGUGCCUACGAGGUCGGUUCCUGCGGAGCUGCGCGCAGCCACAGCCACAGCUGGGCCGCCAACAGAAGGGUCGCUGGGGCGCGGUGCUCCCCUGAAGAGCUGGAGGCUGCGGACAGAAACGGGACAAAUGAGUAUUUCUCCGAAUCGCAGAGGGACACGGCGCAAUGCAGGUGAACUUCAUCGUAAUCCCCGAUGAACUUGAAGACGGUGACGUGGAAGCGACACGUCAAGGACACCCCGUUCUCCUCUAUGCCGAUGGUGUUGUCCUUCAUGUUUUGGCACCUGAAUGAGGCCCAUGUUGCAGGUGUCCAAGGACCCCUCUGCCAUAUCCCUCCAUUGCCCUCCGUCACCCCAAAGCCCAUUGUAUCGACAACUCCGGGAAGGCUGCAGCUCUCCAGAUAAGUGAAAAAACUCCUCCACUAACACCGUGAGCUUCACUGUUCUCCUCCCUGUCCAGAUCUCCAUCAGCCAUCUCGCAGAGUGAAAGGUCCCCUUGACUGAUGCUACCGCUCCUUCAAGUGCCCUUCCCAAAGGACAUGACCCUAAACAUGCUGAGUUGCCCGGCCCGCAGUCACUCACCCUC